AUGUUACAACCCUAAUUUUUAGGAGAAAAACUUGGGGCAUAAAUAAUAUCACUAAUAACAGUAACCGAUUUAUUUUUUUUGGAAAUAAAAAAGCUUGGCUCUGACUUAAUUAUAUAAUAAAAACUAAAGAAUAUACAUGGUUUUUUUCGAGAUAAACGAGGUAAGAAACUUAUAUUAACUAAUAUAAAAUUUAAAAAUAUAUUUUUUUUUAGGUAUUAUAGACUAAAUGAUGCUUUGAAAAGCCCCGUGAACACCAGUAUUUAAGAUUAAAAAGGAGCGAAGGCUUACGUUAGUUUAGUUUAACAAAUCUGAUCAAUUUAGUGCCAGCAAUCGCGGUUAUACUAAAGGGUUAAAUUAUAUAUACAUAGGUUAAAAGGCAGUUAGGUAGUAAAAUAAGUAGAUUAACUUAUUAUACAAAAGUAAAAUUUAGAUAUAUGUUGGUGAUUUAGUGACUACUGUAAAACUGAGUCUGCGACAACCUUGAGGGAAACUGGGAUUAGAUACCCCAUUAUUCUUGGCCAUAAAUUAAUUAAAUUUACCUGAGUACUAUGAAUAUACUAAAAUUUAAAACUCAAAGGGCUUGGCGGUAUUUUAGACUCUUCAGGGGAGCCUAUCCCGUAAUCGACAAUCCACGUUAAACCUAACUUCUUUUAGUGCAUCAGCUUGUAUACCGUCGUCGGCAGGUAACUUUUAAAAAAUUAGAAGUUAGCAACAAAAAUAUUAACUAUGACGUCAGAUCAAGGUGCAGCUAAUAUAGAAGUGAGGAUGGGCUACAAUUAUUAAUUUAUAAUUACGGAUAAGAAAUAAAUUAAACUUAAGAAGGAGGACUUGAAAGUAAAGUAGACUAUAGAAAUAUUUUGAAUAUAGCUCUGAGAUGUGCACACAUCGCCCGUCGCUCUCGUUGAAAAACGAGAUAAGUCGUAACAUAGCAGAGGUAAUAGAAAUUGCCUCUAUGA
This 956-nucleotide non-coding RNA is filed under the name Neptuneopsis gilchristi. Lineage: Eukaryota; Metazoa; Mollusca; Gastropoda; Neogastropoda; Volutidae. The record is from RNAcentral.